Molecule: ribosomal RNA, 440 nt
Filed under: uncultured bacterium
Lineage: Bacteria
Description: partial 16S ribosomal RNA
Rfam family: Bacterial small subunit ribosomal RNA
Source: RNAcentral
CCUACGGGAGGCUGCAGUGGGGAAUAUUGCACAAUGGGGGAAACCCUGAUGCAGCGAAGCCGCGUGAGUGAAGAAGUAAUUCGGUAUGUAAAGCUCUAUCAGCAGGGAAGAAAAUGACGGUACCUGAGUAAGAAGCAGCGGCUAACUACGUGCCAGCAGCCGCGGUAAUACGGAGGGGGCCAGCGUUAUCCGGAUUUACUGGGUGUAAAGGGAGCGUAGACGGCAGUGCAAGUCUGGAGGGAAAGGCGGGGGGUCAACCCCCGGACUGCUGUUGAAACUGUACGGCUGGAGUGCAGGAGAGGUAAGCGGAAUUCGUGGUGUAGCGGUGAAAUGCGUAGAUAUCGCGCAGAACUCCAGUGGCGAAGGCGGCUUACUGGAUUGUCACUGACGUUGAGGCUCGAAAGCGUGGGGAGCGAACAGGAUUAGAUACCCCAGUAGUC